UACGUAGGGUGCAAGCGUUAAUCGGAAUUACUGGGCGUAAAGCGUGCGCAGGCGGUGAUGUAAGACAGAUGUGAAAUCCCCGAGCUCAACCUGGGAACUGCAUUUGUGACUGCAUCGCUGGAGUGCGGCAGAGGGGGAUGGAAUUCCGCGUGUAGCAGUGAAAUGCGUAGAUAUGCGGAGGAACACCGAUGGCGAAGGCAAUCCCCUGGGCCUGCACUGACGCUCAUGCACGAAAGCGUGGGGAGCAAACAGG
Molecule: ribosomal RNA, 253 nt
Filed under: uncultured bacterium
Lineage: Bacteria
Description: partial 16S ribosomal RNA
Rfam family: Bacterial small subunit ribosomal RNA
Source: RNAcentral